CGGAGGGAAACCGAGUCUUAAUUGGGCGUUAAGUUGCAGGGUAUAGACCCGAAACCCGGUGAUCUAGCCAUGGGCAGGUUGAAGGUUGGGUAACACUAACUGGAGGACCGAACCGACUAAUGUUGAAAAAUUAGCGGAUGACCUGUGGCUGGGGGUGAAAGGCCAAUCAAACCGGGAGAUAGCUGGUUCUCCCCGAAAGCUAUUUAGGUAGCGCCUCGUGAAUUCAUCUCCGGGGGUAGAGCACUGUUUCGGCUAGGGGGCCAUCCCGGCUUACCAACCCGAUGCAAACUGCGAAUACCGGAGAAUGUUAUCACGGGAGACACACGGCGGGUGCUAACGUCCGUCGUGAAGAGGGAAACAACCCAGACCGCCAGCUAAGGUCCCAAAGUCAUGGUUAAGUGGGAAACGAUGUGGGAAGGCCCAGACAGCCAGGAUGUUGGCUUAGAAGCAGCCAUCAUUUAAAGAAAGCGUAAUAGCUCACUGGUCGAGUCGGCCUGCGCGGAAGAUGUAACGGGGCUAAACCAUGCACCGAAGCUGCGGCAGCGACGCUUAUGCGUUGUUGGGUAGGGGAGCGUUCUGUAAGCCUGUGAAGGUGGCCUGUGAGGGUUGCUGGAGGUAUCAGAAGUGCGAAUGCUGACAUAAGUAACGAUAAAGCGGGUGAAAAGCCCGCUCGCCGGAAGACCAAGGGUUCCUGUCCAACGUUAAUCGGGGCAGGGUGAGUCGACCCCUAAGGCGAGGCCGAAAGGCGUAGUCGAUGGGAAACGGGUUAAUAUUCCCGUACUUGGUGUUACUGCGAAGGGGGGACGGAGAAGGCUAUGUUGGCCGGGCGACGGUUGUCCCGGUUUAAGCGUGUAGGUGUGUGUUCCAGGUAAAUCCGGUUCACUU
RNAcentral lists this ribosomal RNA (885 nucleotides) under Salmonella enterica subsp. enterica serovar Minnesota. RNAcentral describes it as "partial 23S ribosomal RNA". It matches the Rfam family "Bacterial large subunit ribosomal RNA", at positions 667 to 1552 of the family's 2925-position model. The record is from RNAcentral. Lineage: Bacteria; Pseudomonadati; Pseudomonadota; Gammaproteobacteria; Enterobacterales; Enterobacteriaceae.